Molecule: non-coding RNA, 170 nt
Filed under: uncultured Ruminococcus sp.
Lineage: Bacteria; Bacillati; Bacillota; Clostridia; Eubacteriales; Oscillospiraceae
Source: RNAcentral
UUGCAGUCGGUGCUUUUUAUUCGUGUAAAAAGGUAAAAGUGAAGCGUGUGGGAAUCAUGCACGAACUCGUCACUGUAAUUGCGGAGUUCAGAGCUUUUCAUGUCACUGAGAAAUCGGGAAGGCUUGCUCUGAAUGAUGAUGCAUAAGUCAGGAAACCUGCCGUCUGUUGU